GUCCACUGUGUGUGCAGGACACACAUCCACUCAUAAUUAGACCCAUUUGGAAAUUUGCACAAAGAAAAAAAAUACCACGGAAAGACAGAAGGAGGGCAAUGACAAGAAUCU
Etheostoma spectabile (orangethroat darter) is the source of this 111-nucleotide long non-coding RNA. RefSeq lists it as uncharacterized. Lineage: Eukaryota; Metazoa; Chordata; Actinopteri; Perciformes; Percidae. The transcript is spliced from 3 exons. The record is from RefSeq and is a predicted model, not a curated record.